Cyprinus carpio carpio is the source of this 264-nucleotide long non-coding RNA. NCBI's taxonomy places the organism in Eukaryota, Metazoa, Chordata, Actinopteri, Cypriniformes, Cyprinidae. The record is from Ensembl.
UGGCCGCUACUGUAAUGGGCGGAGCCUUAAUGUAAGGUAUGGAAUGGAAUCUCCAUGAAGAGCAUGUUCAGGUGUACUAAGUUAAAUUUUCAUAGAAUUAGGGGUUCAAAAGUUAUUAACGUUUGAAUGUUGAAAUUUUGGACUGCUGGUGGCGCUAUAGAGUUGUGCCUAGAGACCCCAAAGUUGGUCAGAUCACUAAUAAUGGCCAUCUCUACAAGUGUGCCAAAUUUCAUCAUUUUCCCAUGUUCCCUUCAUAGGGCUGCC